RNAcentral lists this long non-coding RNA (652 nucleotides) under Pan troglodytes (chimpanzee). Its description in RNAcentral is "long non-coding RNA NONPTRT015421". The record is from RNAcentral. Lineage: Eukaryota; Metazoa; Chordata; Mammalia; Primates; Hominidae.
GGGGUCUCAGUGCCAGGGGUGUCAGUGCUGCGGACAUCAAUGUUGGGGUGUCAGUGCUGGGGACAUCAGUGUUGGGGUGUCAGUGCUGGGAGUCUCAGUGUUGGGGAUGCCAUUGCUGGGGGUGUCAGUGCUGGAGGUAUGAGUGCUGGGGGUGUCAGUGCUGGGGGUCUCAGUGUUGGGGGUGUCAGUGCUGGAGGUAUGAGUGCUGGGGGACUCAGUGUUGGGGUAUUAGUGCUGGGAGUGUCAGUGCAGGGCUGUUAGUGCUGGGGACGUUAGUGCUGGCAGUGUCAGUGUUGGGGUGUUAGUUGUAUGGGUGUCAUACCCAUACCUGGGGGCAUCAGUGCUGGGGGCAUCAGUGGUGGGGGGAUUAGUGCUGAGGGAGCAAUUCUGGCGGGGGGUCAGUGUUGGAGUGUCAGUGAUGGGGGCUCAGUACCUGGGUUGUCAGUACCUGGGAGGUCAGUGCUGGGGACGUCAGUGCUUGGACGUCAGUGCUGGGGUGUCAGUGCCAAGGGUGUCAGUGCUGGGGUGUCAGUGCUGGGGGUGUCAGUGCUGGGGUGUCAGUGUUGGGGGUGUCAGUGCUGGGGGUGUCAGUGCCGAGGGUGUCAGUGCCGGGGGUGUCAGUGCUGGGGGUGUCAGUGCUGGGGUGUCAGUG